RNAcentral lists this ribosomal RNA (435 nucleotides) under uncultured bacterium. RNAcentral describes it as "partial 16S ribosomal RNA". It matches the Rfam family "Bacterial small subunit ribosomal RNA", at positions 29 to 507 of the family's 1533-position model. The record is from RNAcentral.
AGCGAACGCUGGCGGCAGGCUUAACACAUGCAAGUCGAACGGGCUUCUUCGGAAGUCAGUGGUAGACGGGUGAGUAACACGUGGGAACGUGCCCUUCGGUUCGGAAUAACUCAGGGAAACUUGAGCUAAUACCGGAUACGCCCUUUUGGGGAAAGGUUGACGGCCGAAGGUUCGGCUCGCGUCUGAUUAGCUUGUUGGUGGGGUAACGGCCUUCCACGGCGACGAUCAGGAGCUGGUCUGUGAGGAGGAUCAGCCACACUGGGACGGAGACGCAGCCCAGACUCCUACGAGAGGCAGCAGUGGGGAAUAUAGGACAAUGGGCGCAGUCCUGAUCCAGCCAUGCCGCGUAAGUGAUGAAAGCCUUAGGGUUGUAAAGCUCUUUUGUCCGGGACGAUAAUGACGGUACCGGAAGAAUAAGCCCCGGCUAACUUCGUG